RNAcentral lists this long non-coding RNA (1245 nucleotides) under Lytechinus variegatus (green sea urchin). RNAcentral describes it as "uncharacterized LOC121416248". The record is from RNAcentral. Lineage: Eukaryota; Metazoa; Echinodermata; Echinoidea; Temnopleuroida; Toxopneustidae.
UAUAAAACGCGUCAUUUGACGUCAUUUUAAUCCAUGGACUAAAGUUAGUACCUAGGUACUAACUUUUGCGAUUCACAAAGGUGGACUAAAGUUAUACCGGGGUAUAAAACGCGUCAUUUGACGUCACGAUUUAGUCAGCUCUUUGGGGUGGACUAAAUCGGUGGAUUAAAGUUAGUCCACGGUUUUAACCAAUCAGAGAGCAGCAUUGCGGUUGCAGAAAAGUUUGCUGCAAAAAAAAGUUUUUUGGACGGAGACGAGAUUCGGUGUGAUCGGCUUAUCUAAAGCUUAAAAUUUCACGACUUCGACCGAGAUUAAACAGACCAUACUCGGCAGAUUGUGAUCAAUCAAGACGACAAACAUGGCUCACAUUUUUGAACUGCUGUGCCUUCUUGCAACAGAGUGAGAUUCAGCAACACAUAGGAAGACCACAGCAUGGAUUAAGAGACAGGAAGAAUCCAUUUGAAUGCUACAAGGAUGAACCUUUCAGAGUGGGCUACCAACAGAGAGAAACGACACAUUGCCUGACAUGUUACAUGUUUUGACAGGACUUUGUUUUUAUGCCAUUGGUACCUUUUAGAAGAUGCAAGCAGACAAAGCAACUAUAUCAUAGUCAUCCGUGUGCAGAAUCAUCAAAGAUUUUUCUGAGGCAAUGGCAAGGAGUAACAGUUAAUGAAGUGUCCGAUGACGAGAAAUUCAAACCACCCAGCGACAAUUUGAUGAUUGCUACAGGUUUCCAAGAGUCGUAGGUGCUAUCGAUUGGGGCCAUGUCUACAUCAGGAGUCCUGAUGGGGAACAAGACCUGUACUUAGCAGGAAGAACAGGUCUUCUGUAAAUGUAUAGGUAUCCGUUGCUCCUCUCUUUGAUGAAUUCCUGCCUGCAUUCUGUUGUCAAUAGAAAAGGACCAUGUGCUUCGGGUAUUAAGCAUUCCAUUGGAUUAUCUGUGUAUGAAAGUGGACACUUGUGAUCACAAAAUGGUAGCUUAGUUGAUAGGAUGUAUUCAUGCAUUCCGAUUUAUCAUUAGUGAUCAAAUGACCAUCUUGCUUUUAAAAACCCAAAUUCACAACAUUUUUCUUGUUUGACAAAAGGUUUGGGAUGUGAAUUCCAGGAAAUAAAUGACACACACGAUGGGCUAAUGUAUAAGCAGGGAUGUGAGAGGUAUAAGCAACAUUUUGCUCAUGCUUAACUAAGUUUGGCAUGAGAUGGUCUUGGUCAUUCUUAUGAUUCAAGUCUAUUUUUAUACCAUUU